AGUGAACGCUGGCGGUAGGCCUAACACAUGCAAGUCGAACGGCAGCACAGUAAGAGCUUGCUCUUACGGGUGGCGAGUGGCGGACGGGUGAGGAAUACAUCGGAAUCUACCUUUUCGUGGGGGAUAACGUAGGGAAACUUACGCUAAUACCGCAUACGACCUACGGGUGAAAGCAGGGGAUCUUCGGACCUUGCGCGAUUGAAUGAGCCGAUGUCGGAUUAGCUAGUUGGCGGGGUAAAGGCCCACCAAGGCGACGAUCCGUAGCUGGUCUGAGAGGAUGAUCAGCCACACUGGAACUGAGACACGGUCCAGACACCUACGGGAGGCAGCAGUGGGGAAUAUUAGACAAUGGGCGCAAGCCUGAUCCAGCCAUACCGCGUGGGUGAAGAAGGCCUUCGGGUUGUAAAGCCCUUUUGUUGGGAAAGAAGAGCAGCAGGUUAAUACCCCGCUGUUCUGACGGUACCCAAAGAAUAAGCACCGGCUAACUUCGUG
Molecule: ribosomal RNA, 492 nt
Filed under: uncultured bacterium
Lineage: Bacteria
Description: partial 16S ribosomal RNA
Rfam family: Bacterial small subunit ribosomal RNA
Source: RNAcentral